RNAcentral lists this long non-coding RNA (614 nucleotides) under Homo sapiens (human). RNAcentral's name for it is "HSALNT0151253". Lineage: Eukaryota; Metazoa; Chordata; Mammalia; Primates; Hominidae. The record is from RNAcentral.
UGUGUAUCAGGCAAUCCUUUGAGUAAAUGAGAACAGGAAAGGGCAGAGGAAAAGUAGUGUAGGUCAUUGAGGGAGGGUACAAAGUUGUUCUCCACACAUUCAGAGACUCAGCCUCUUGCCAUCCUUUGAUGCCACCAUCUUCAACACGUGACCUCCAAGUUUUCUCUGGAACAGGAAGAGCGAACAGAAGAUUAAAUGUGAGAGAUUUUAUGGCCAAGGGGUGGCACAUCAUCACUUCUGUCCACUUUCCCUUGUUCAGAACUCAACCACAAGAUGCCAAGCUAUUUGCUGAGGAUCUGGACAUUUAGCUGUGUGUCCAGUGAGGAAGAAAACUGGGUUUGGUGAACACAUACCAUUGUCUCUGCCAUGGUGAGUUCCUGCUCCUUCCUGUAUCCUUCCCCUAUCCUAAAAUCGUAACAGUUUUAGGUUGAACUUGUAUUCUACGUUUGCAUCUAAGUGAUUAUUGAACUGUUUUUCACUGCUGAGCCAACUAGUGUACUGAGGUUAUGUCCCCUUUCUUGUACAUCUAUUUUUUGAAAAGUUUACACAGAAACAAAAGUUUUGUGUAAACUUUUGCUUUUACACAACAGUUUAAAAUUCUUCCCCAAACACUC